Molecule: transfer RNA, 74 nt
Filed under: Solirubrobacterales bacterium
Lineage: Bacteria; Bacillati; Actinomycetota; Thermoleophilia; Solirubrobacterales
Rfam family: tRNA
About the family: Transfer RNA (tRNA) molecules are approximately 80 nucleotides in length. Their secondary structure includes four short double-helical elements and three loops (D, anti-codon, and T loops).
Source: Rfam by way of RNAcentral
GGGGCUGUAGCUCAGCUGGAAAGAGCGUGCGGCUGGCAGCCGCAAGGUCGUGGGUUCGAGUCCCACCAGCUCCA